Molecule: ribosomal RNA, 265 nt
Filed under: uncultured bacterium
Lineage: Bacteria
Description: partial 16S ribosomal RNA
Source: RNAcentral
CUGCUGCCUUCCGUAGGAGUUUGGACCGUGUCUCAGUUCCAAUGUGGGGGACCUUCCUCUCAGAACCCCUAUCCAUCGAUGCCUUGGUGGGCCGUUACCCCGCCAACAAGCUAAUGGAACGCAUCCCCAUCGAUGACCGAAAUUCUUUAAUAGUUCUACCAUGCGGAAGAACUAUGUCAUCGGGUAUUAAUCUUUCUUUCGAAAGGCUAUCCCCGAGUCAUCGGCAGGUUGGAUACGUGUUACUCACCCGUGCGCCGGUCGCCAU